AACGAACGCUGGCGGCAGGCUUAACACAUGCAAGUCGAACGCACCGCAAGGUGAGUGGCAGACGGGUGAGUAACGCGUGGGAACGUACCCUUCAGUUCGGAAUAACCCAGGGAAACUUGGGCUAAUACCGGAUACGUCCGUAAGGAGAAAGAUUUAUCGCUGAAGGAUCGGCCCGCGUCGGAUUAGCUAGUUGGUGAGGUAACGGCCCACCAAGGCGACGACGGGUAGCUGGUCUGAGAGGAUGGCCAGCCACAUUGGGACUGAGAAACGGCCCAGACUCCUACGGGAGGCAGCAGUGGGGAAUCUUGCGCAAUGGACGAAAGUCUGACGCAGCGACGCCGCGUGGGGGAGUGAAGGC
Molecule: ribosomal RNA, 358 nt
Filed under: uncultured bacterium
Lineage: Bacteria
Description: bacterial SSU rRNA
Rfam family: Bacterial small subunit ribosomal RNA
Source: RNAcentral